CUACCGGGGUAUCUAAUCCUGUUUGCUCCCCACGCUUUCGCGCCUCAGCGUCAGUUGAAGUCCAGAUGACCGCCUUCGCCACUGGUGUUCCUCCUAAUAUCUAAGAAUUUCACCUCUACACUAGGAAUUCCAUCAUCCUCUACUUCACUCUAGACUAAUAGUUUUGAAAGCAGUUCCGAGGUUAAGCCCCGGGCUUUCACUUUCAACUUAUUAAUCCGCCUACGCGCCCUUUACGCCCAGUAAUUCCGAACAACGCUAGCCCCCUCCGUCUUACCGCGGCUGCUGGCAC
RNAcentral lists this ribosomal RNA (289 nucleotides) under uncultured Rickettsiaceae bacterium. RNAcentral describes it as "partial 16S ribosomal RNA". Lineage: Bacteria; Pseudomonadati; Pseudomonadota; Alphaproteobacteria; Rickettsiales; Rickettsiaceae. The record is from RNAcentral.